GAUGAACGCUGGCGGCGUGCCUAAUACAUGCAAGUCGAGCGAACGGACGAGAAGCUUGCUUCUCUGAUGUUAGCGGCGGACGGGUGAGUAACACGUGGAUAACCUACCUAUAAGACUGGGAUAACUUCGGGAAACCGGAGCUAAUACCGGAUAAUAUUUUGAACCGCAUGGUUCAAAAGUGAAAGACGGUCUUGCUGUCACUUAUAGAUGGAUCCGCGCUGCAUUAGCUAGUUGGUAAGGUAACGGCUUACCAAGGCAACGAUGCAUAGCCGACCUGAGAGGGUGAUCGGCCACACUGGAACUGAGACACGGUCCAGACUCCUACGGGAGGCAGCAGUAGGGAAUCUUCCGCAAUGGGCGAAAGCCUGACGGAGCAACGCCGCGUGAGUGAUGAAGGUCUUCGGAUCGUAAAACUCUGUUAUUAGGGAAGAACAUAUGUGUAAGUAACUGUGCACAUCUUGACGGUACCUAAUCAGAAAGCCACGGCUAACUACGUGCCAGCAGCCGCGGUAAUACGUAGGUGGCAAGCGUUAUCCGGAAUUAUUGGGCGUAAAGCGCGCGUAGGCGGUUUUUUAAGUCUGAUGUGAAAGCCCACGGCUCAACCGUGGAGGGUCAUUGGAAACUGGAAAACUUGUGUGCAGAAGAGGAAAGUGGAAUUCCAUGUGUAGCGGUGAAAUGCGCAGAGAUAUGGAGGAACACCAGUGGCGAAGGCGGCUUUCUGGUCUGUAACUGACGCUGAUGUGCGAAAGCGUGGGGAUCAAACAGGAUUAGAUACCCUGGUAGUCCACGCCGUAAACGAUGAGUGCUAAGUGUUAGGGGGUUUCCGCCCCUUAGUGCUGCAGCUAACGCAUUAAGCACUCCGCCUGGGGAGUACGACCGCAAGGUUGAAACUCAAAGGAAUUGACGGGGACCCGCACAAGCGGUGGAGCAUGUGGUUUAAUUCGAAGCAACGCGAAGAACCUUACCAAAUCUUGACAUCCUUUGACAGCUCUAGAGAUAGAGCUUUCCCCUUCGGGGGACAAAGUGACAGGUGGUGCAUGGUUGUCGUCAGCUCGUGUCGUGAGAUGUUGGGUUAAGUCCCGCAACGAGCGCAACCCUUAAGCUUAGUUGCCAUCAUUAAGUUGGGCACUCUAAGUUGACUGCCGGUGACAAACCGGAGGAAGGUGGGGAUGACGUCAAAUCAUCAUGCCCCUUAUGAUUUGGGCUACACACGUGCUACAAUGGACAAUACAAAGGGCAGCGAAACCGUGAGGUCAAGCAAAUCCCAUAAAGUUGUUCUCAGUUCGGAUUGUAGUCUGCAACUCGACUACAUGAAGCUGGAAUCGCUAGUAAUCGUAGAUCAGCAUGCUACGGUGAAUACGUUCCCGGGUCU
Molecule: ribosomal RNA, 1372 nt
Filed under: uncultured bacterium
Lineage: Bacteria
Description: bacterial SSU rRNA
Rfam family: Bacterial small subunit ribosomal RNA
Source: RNAcentral